UUGGGGAAACUACCAUCAGCAGGGGCUUUCAGAGGAGGGCCGAGUGGGAAUGGCCUUUGGUUUAGCUCUAAGGUCCCUUUUCUAACCUCUCCGACAAGGUAAAGACUAAGGGACAAGCGCGAGGCGGCACCGAAAACAGCAAGUGAGGAAGGCGAAUAAAGCCAGGCAGAAAUCAGCAUGAGAAGAUGAUCAAAAUUCAUAUAUUGAAACAUGAAAAGGUUGAAGAAGAAAUAAAGAAGCACGGAAGUAAUAACAUGGGAUUAUCAGAAAACCUGACUGAUUGUGCUGCUGCUAGCAAUGGUGAUGAUGGACUAAUUCCACAAAGAGCAGAAAACCUGAAAAUCAGCAAUUUCCUAGGACGGAGAAUGAAGAGUAUCAUAGGGUUGAAGGUGGCAUGGCCUGUAUGCUGCAGGUUUUUCUGAGGAAAAACAUUCAUUUCCAUGUCUUCCUGUGAUCUUAUGCAUGCAUUGGAUUACACGGGAC
Long non-coding RNA from Gorilla gorilla gorilla (western lowland gorilla), 483 nucleotides. RefSeq lists it as uncharacterized. The transcript is spliced from 4 exons. Lineage: Eukaryota; Metazoa; Chordata; Mammalia; Primates; Hominidae. The record is from RefSeq and is a predicted model, not a curated record.